AUUGAACGCUGGCGGCAGGCCUAACACAUGCAAGUCGAGCGAGCGGCGGACGGGUGAGUAAUGUCUGGGAAACUGCCUGAUGGAGGGGGAUAACUACUGGAAACGGUAGCUAAUACCGCAUACCAUCAGAUGUGCCCAGAUGGGAUUAGCUAGUAGGUGGGGUAACGGCUCACCUAGGCGCCGAUCCCUAGCUGGUCUGAGAGGAUGACCAGCAAAAUGGUAACGGGGAACUGGUCCAGACUCCUAGGGGAGGCAGCAGGGGGGAAUAUGGAACAAUGGGGGAAAGCCGGAUGCAGCCAUGCGGGGUGUAUGAAGAGGGCCUUCGGGUUGUAAAGUACUUUCAGCGGGGAGGCGUUACCCGCAGAAGAAGCACCGGCUAACUCCGUGCCAGCAGCCGCGGUAAUC
This 405-nucleotide ribosomal RNA is filed under the name uncultured bacterium. RNAcentral describes it as "partial 16S ribosomal RNA". It matches the Rfam family "Bacterial small subunit ribosomal RNA", at positions 29 to 525 of the family's 1533-position model. The record is from RNAcentral.